Molecule: ribosomal RNA, 426 nt
Filed under: uncultured bacterium
Lineage: Bacteria
Description: partial 16S ribosomal RNA
Rfam family: Bacterial small subunit ribosomal RNA
Source: RNAcentral
GUGAGGAAUAUUGCACAAUAGGCGCAAGCCUGAUGCAGCAACGCCGCGUGGACGAUGAAGGCCUUCGGGUUGUAAAGUCCUUUUCUGGGGGAAGACAUGGACGGUACCCCAGGAAUAAGUGUCGGCUAACUACGUGCCAGCAGCCGCGGUAAAACGUAGGACGCGAGCGUUAUCCGGAUUUACUGGGCGUAAAGCGCGUGCAGGCGGUCUGUUAAGUCGUGCGUGAAAGCUCCCUGGCUCAACCGGGAGAGGUCGUACGAAACUGGCAGGCUUGAGGGCAGCAGAGGAGUGUGGAAUUCCGGGUGUAGUGGUGAAAUGCGUAGAUAUCCGGAGGAACACCAGUGGCGAAGGCGACACUCUGGGCUGUACCUGACGCUAAGACGCGAAAGCAUGGGUAGCGAACGGGAUUAGAAACCCUGGUAGUCC